This 462-nucleotide ribosomal RNA is filed under the name uncultured bacterium. Its description in RNAcentral is "bacterial LSU rRNA". It matches the Rfam family "Bacterial large subunit ribosomal RNA", at positions 1367 to 1807 of the family's 2925-position model. The record is from RNAcentral.
CGUCAUCGUAGGGUUAGUCGGGACCUAAGUCGAGUCCGAAAGGGGUAGACGAUGGCAAAUUGAUUAAUAUUUCAAUACCAACAUAUAAGCGCGAUGUGGGGACGCAUAGAGUUAAUCGAGCUCACUGAUGGAAUAGUGGGUCGAAGGAUGUAGGUUGUAUCUUAGGCAAAUCCGGGAUACAUGAGACCGAGAUCUUACAGGCUCUUGACGCUCUUCGGAGAUGAUAGAGAAUCGAUGAUACUGUCGUGCCAAGAAAAGCCACUAAGUAUAUUAUUUGUUGCCCGUACCGUAAACCGACACAGGUGGGUGGGAUGAGUAUUCUAAGGCGCGUGGAAGAACCCUGGUUAAGGAACUCUGUAAACUAGCACCGUAUCUUCGGUAUAAGGUGUGCCUACUAUUGUAUAUGGACUUGCUCCAAAAAGCGAUAGAGGUUGCAACAAAGAGUCCCUCCCGACUGUUUAC